Molecule: transfer RNA, 61 nt
Filed under: Heteropsylla cubana
Lineage: Eukaryota; Metazoa; Arthropoda; Insecta; Hemiptera; Psyllidae
Description: tRNA-Thr
Source: RNAcentral
AGUUAAAGUAGUUUAAAAUAAAACAUUGAUCUUGUAAAUCAAAAAUAAAUUAUUCUUUAAU